UCCGGUCCGUGAGACACGACAUCCCACUAGUCUGUUGUGAUGAAUAAUUCACCUUUCAUUAUUGGUUUGGUAUACCAGACCUAUCCAGUACGGAAAUUUUAUUUCGUGCAUUACACACACACGUAUAAAUGAGUUAAUUGUGUCGGUGCACACAAUGUAGGAAAAUACAAAAAUGAGAGUGUGUUAUGCUCGCAUUAUGUGAGUGAAGAGAAGUUACGGUACAGUCCAAAAAAUUAAGGGCUUGUUUGGUAGUUAUUUUUAUCCUAUAUUUUUUGCUUUUGGUCAGUUAUUUUUAGAAGCAUCAAAAUGAUGCUUCUUGUUGCUUAUAGUGGUAAAAUGCUUCCUGCACUGUAGCCCAUUAGUGGAAUCAUUGGGUCCAAAAUACUUGAAGCAAUAUUUCCAAUAUCCAGCCACAAAUGUGAAAGCAAACGAGAGAAAACCCUAGGGCAAUUAGGAGGCGAUUCUACUGUGCACCGAGCUUCAACCAUCCCGUUGCUACAAACGAUGUUCUUGCAGGCUCCGAUCGGUAAACUAACUCCAUUCUGUUCUUGUUCGUCUUCUUCUUCGUCUUGAUGGUAAUUUUUUCCUUUUUCAUCUUGAUUUUUUUGCUUGGAUCUGAAACCCUAGUGGUAAGGGUUUCAGUUUUGUUACUUAAAUGAGUUUUUUGUCAUGUUGUGUAACAUUUUGGGUCGACUUUGUGCUUAGAUCUGUUAACCAUACUUCGAAAAUUGAAGUUUUAUCACUUCGAUUCAAAUUUUACUAUCUUGUGUUUUAUUUUUGGUUGAAUUUGAGCUUAGAUUUGAAAACCGUAUUUCGGAAAUUCAAGUCUUGUCACUUUGAUUCAGAUUUUAUUAUCUUCUGUCUUAUUUUGGGUUGAAUUUGUGCUUAGAUCUGAAAAUCAAACUUCGGUAUUUCAAGUUUUCUUUACUUCGUUUCAUAUUUUAUUAUGUUGUGUAUAAUUUUGGGUUUAUUUUUGUCUUGGAUUUGGAAACCCUUCUUCUGAAAAAAAAAAAUUCUGGUACUUUGAUUCUUUUAUGUUGUGUAUAACUUUGGGUCUAUUUUGUGUCUUCGAUUUGGAUACCCUACUUCUGAAAUGAUAAAAUUUUAACUGUUUUAACAUUAUUGUCACUUCAAUUAAAUUUUUUGUGUUUGUGUUGGGUUGUUCGUUUAUAGAAUAUGAGUGUUGCAGUGGCAUGACGUUGAUACUGACCUUUAAUUCGUCCUAAAAGUAAGAAUUUCAACCCUACUUUUGAAUUUACAGAUUUGUGUUGGAUAAAUUUUUGUUUUAUACUGUGAAUAAAUUUGGGUUUUUUUUUUUUUUGUCUUCCAUUUUUCUGAAUAUACAGAUUGGUUACUUCGAUUCAUUUUUUAUAUGUUGUAUCUAAUGAUCUUGUUUGUGUUGAAAUUACAGAUUGGUUAGUUCGAUUCAACUUGUAAAUUUUUUUGAUGUAAAAAUCUUUUGUCAUUGGUUACUGAAACUCAAUUUUUGUGUACAACAAAAUGCAAACUGGAAUUGAAACCAAAUUGAACUAUUUGUUAAAACUGUUUAUCAUGCUACCUAUAUGCAAACUGACUUCCAACUUGUAACUGUUUUUUAUUUAAAAAUAUUUUUUGAUUGGUUCUAAAUAAGUGUUAUAAUAUAUAUUCUUAUACUUUUAUUUGUACUGAACUUGAUUUAUUGUGUAUAACUAUAUGAAAACUGAAUUGAAACUAAUUGAUUAAAUUGUAAAACCGUGUAUCAUGCUACGUAUAUGCAAAGUGACUUUUAGCUUAUAACUUUCUUUCAGUUAAAAAUAUAUUGUCAUUGGUUACUGGAUCUCAUUUUUUUUUUUUUUUUUUCAAACUAUAUGCAAACUUAAUUGAAACCCAAUUGAUCUAGUUGUUUAAAAACUUUUAUAAUUGGUUCUCAGUAAUAGUUCUGAUUAUACUUUUAUAACCAUUAUGUUUGUUAGAUGGAUCUUAAUCCCAAUAAUCUAUAUGAAUAUGCCAAUGAAAUGAGCUUGGGUGAUGAGGUGCAAGUAGAUAUGGACACGAUGGAUGAUGGGAAAAAUAUUUGGGAUGACUAUGUGGAAGAGAAAUUUAUUUUACUGAUGGGGGAAGAGGUUAGGCAAGGAAAUCGUACAAAUGCAACUUUUAACAAUGUUGGGUGGAAAAAGCUAAUCGAAGGAAUGAUAGUUGAAACAGGCAAAACAUACACCAUUAAACAACUCAGAAAUAAAUUCAACCAAUUGAGGGCAAUACACAAGGAUUUUAAAAAGUUGUUGUUUGAGACGGGUGUGGGCUAUAAUGCUGAGAGUGGAAUAAUUGUAAUGGAAGAAGAGAGAUGGGUAAGGUUGUCAAAGGUUAGUGAUAAAUAAUGCAAUCUGUUGUAGUAUUUAUUUUUACUGUUUUUGGGAUAGACAUGUUUUUAUAAUAAGUUUAUUAUAACAUGUAGGUUGUUAAAUAUGGGAAAAAAAAAAUCGCAAGAAGGGUUGUAAGCACUUUGACAAGUUGUCUGCCAUCUUUGUAGACACACAUGCAACAGGAUCUCAAGUCCGUCCUACUAGAUCUCACCCAACAUCGCAUGUACCCACAAAUAUGGCUCAAAUUAAUUCUCUUGAUGAUGAUACUAUCAAUAAGGAAGGAAAUGAUCUCCAAGGUAAAGAGAGGACUCCAUCACUUGAACCCCGACCUAGGAAAGCUAGGAAAGAUAGUUUUGCAUCCACAAUGUCUGCAGUCAUGGCAACCAUGAUUGAGAAUUCAAAGAGGAAAGCUGAGGCAAUAGAGAAAGCCAUAGCUGCUACCUCUUCCAAUCGUGUAGCAUCCCAUGAAACAGGUGAUUGUAACUCUCCCACCCUAAGGGACAAGGAAAUGGAAGAGGUGCAAGGUUACAUUAGGGUUAUGAGUAACUUGGAAGGACUUGAUACUGCCCAUUACAAUAAGGCUCUCAGGGACAAGGAAAGGGAAGAAGUGCAAGGUUGAUCAUGAAUCUAACUAUAUAUACGAAUAGAUUUUUAAUUUGUUAUGUAUGGAUGAUGAGAUUCCAUUGAUACAUAAUCAAUUCUAAUACAAAAAGAGAGCCUCCAUACUAAAAGUAAAGCCACUUUCUUUGAUCUUCUUUUCUUUUCUUUUCUUUUCUUUUUUUUUUUUUUUUGUAUUUUACCUUUUUAUUUUUAUUUUUUAUGAGCAAGAUUGUUUCUGUUGUUUUGACUAAAGAAAGAAAAUUUUAAUUUAAUUUUCUUAAGAUAAUGUAUCUACACCUACUUCUAUCCUGUGCAGUGAUUUGAUCAUCUUCCAAUUUCAUAUUAGUUUUCCCCUCAGCUUCAGUCAGACAAAAGUAUUGCUCUUCAUUGACUUCUCCGACAUUUUUUUGCUGACGGGUGACUUCUGCAAUAUUGUCAUCAUAACUAUAUUCAAUAUUGCCCCAUUAAGCUUAAGGUCUAAUGGAUAUUCAAUUAUUGGUCGAUCCUUGUACAUCAGUUAGUACUUUCUGUUGGUUGAUCAUAUUCAUAAAAUUCUUAAAUUUUAUUAUUUUAAUAGUUCAAUGUCAUCUUUCUUUUCUAGUUCAGUUUAUUGAGGUCUUCUAAUCACUCUUGUUAUUUGAAUCCAAAGACCAUAAGCCAAAAGUAUUCUCUUUCAUGGCUUGGAAGUGUAUUGACCCCGUAUAUGAAAUUCUCACAUUGCCGUAUACAGCAACUACAUUACCCAGAAUUUUAAAGUCAAACUCUUUUAAUCCAGGACUGCAGUAAUGCAGAAUUCACCAUUAUAAUCCACUAGUAAACCAGCCAGCAUAUGAGAAGUUUCCUCAUCAAUGAAUAUGCAUAUCCUGUCUUUCAAAAAAAGCACAUUCCUACAUAUUCUGAUAUGCACAGACAAGAACUCUGCAUUGGGAUGCAAAUAUCGAUGGCAGACUGUUGUUGGUAAUGGAUUCAACUGCUAUCCAACAGCUAGAGAAACGCUGUAUGGAAAUGGAUAUUCAACUGCUAGCAUGGUGAAUGACGUGUUGUAUUUCCAUGAUUAGUAAUCCAACAAUAUUUGUUGUAUAUUAGCAUAGGAACCUCUAAAGUUAUACAAUGGAAUACUGGGUAUAAUUAUUGUAUGUAAUAUGAAAGUUUGAUCAUAUGAUAUGCAUCGAUAAUGUUGCUGCUUGAGCUUGAGUGUUCAUUUUGUUGGGAUCCAAGUGCAAACUUGAUAAUUUGCAUUGCUAUGUAUCUGAAUAUUUAUAGGUUUUGCACUACAAUUUAGUAGCACGUCCGUUUUUUUUUUGGUAAAUAGUUGCAGGUAUGUUAAUUAUAUAUGUAAGGUACAUAUUGGGACAUCAUGGUUUAAAUCAAAAUUCUAUUUGAAAAUUUUGUUCCAAAAGUUUCCGGUGGAAGGAUUAUCUAAUUGAAUGAAUGGUUUGUAUUU
Long non-coding RNA from Cornus florida, 4386 nucleotides. RefSeq lists it as uncharacterized. NCBI's taxonomy places the organism in Eukaryota, Viridiplantae, Streptophyta, Magnoliopsida, Cornales, Cornaceae. The record is from RefSeq and is a predicted model, not a curated record. The transcript has 2 exons.